Molecule: ribosomal RNA, 253 nt
Filed under: uncultured bacterium
Lineage: Bacteria
Description: partial 16S ribosomal RNA
Rfam family: Bacterial small subunit ribosomal RNA
Source: RNAcentral
UACGUAGGGGGCAAGCGUUGUCCGGAUUUAUUGGGCGUAAAGAGCGUGUAGGCGGCCAGGUAGGUCUGCUGUGAAAACUCGAGGCUUAACCUCGAGCUGUCGGCGGAAACCAUCUGGCUAGAGUCCGGAAGAGGAGAAUGGAAUUCCCGGUGUAGCGGUGAAAUGCGUAGAUAUCUGGAGGAACACCGGUGGCGAAGGCGGCAUCCUGGACCAAUAUUGACGCUGAAGAGCGAAAGCUAGGGGAGCAAACGGG